RNAcentral lists this long non-coding RNA (1455 nucleotides) under Homo sapiens (human). RNAcentral's name for it is "long intergenic non-protein coding RNA 1684". The record is from RNAcentral. Lineage: Eukaryota; Metazoa; Chordata; Mammalia; Primates; Hominidae.
AGAUGAAUGGAAAAUGAACUUGCCAGUUCACAGCUAUGUCCUUCCCAAUUUAGGAGGUUAAGGGCAGGAAAAACAUGAGAAACUCUUUUGAGAAGCUGCACAAGCUGACAUGGAGGAUCAAGGAUUUCAAAAGCUUUGAAUAUAAAGAGGUGUCAGACUUACAUCAGAGCCUGAGACUUGACAUGCCUAUUUUUGCACUCGCUCAUUUUUCAAAUUUCAUAGGCAUUGCUCCCUCCAAAUCACCGCUCUUCUAAUUUUAUCCUGGAGUGUGCAUCCCAGAAGACAUAAGCUGACACAAUUGGGAACUGAAGUUGCUUGAAAAAGCUGGUGGGAUCAGCAUCAUAUAUCACUAUUUCUCAAAGAUUAUCUGGUCUCUUGAUGGCAAAUCUACAAUAUUGAAACCUUUGAAAGAGAAAUUGUGUUUUGUGAGUUACAUGACUACCGUUUGCAUCCAAGGUCUCCUCUGUAGUCAAGAGAAGAAUGCAGAAACUACAUGUCCAAGAAUCUCUUUCCAGACUCUAGACAGCUUAUACGUAUUUGGACAAGGCAACGUGAUGAAGAAAUAAUAUAAUUGUAGGAUCACCUCUGUCCAGUAGCUGUUAUCCAACAUCUGCAUACUUAGAUUUCUGGAGAGCCCUAUGCCUUCACAAGAACAAGUUCCCACACCAGGGUCAAGAAGGAAACCGUAAGUCAAGACAAAAGUGCCCAGUGAAGGCAGAAGAUGAGGGGUCUCAGGUUGCAUCUUCGGAGGCACGAGGAUUCAAAGGUGAACAAAGCACACAGUACAUCAUUUGAUGUGGACAGUCAAUAUUUUUUCCCUGAGUUUGAAAAAAUCAUUUUCAAAUGUUCACUGGCAAAUCUGGAUAACAGCAGGCUCCUCCCACGCAUGCAGACCCUGACCACAAAGCAGACAAAUUCUCCUGUUUCCCAGGCUGGAGUGCAGUGGUGCGAUCUGGGCUCACUUCAUCCUAUGCCUCCCAGGCUCAAGCGAUCCUCCUGCCUCCACCACUGGAAUAACUGGGACUACAAACUCACACCACCAUGCCUAGUUAAUUUCUGUAUCUUUUUGAGUAGAGAUAGUGUUUUGCCAUGUUAUCCAGGGUGGCCUCCAACCCGGGAGCUCAAGCCAUCCACCCUCUUCGGCCUCCCAAAGUGCUGGGAUUGCAAGCAUGAGCCACUGCACUGGCUAAUUCUUUAUUUUAAUGUUCAUGUUUUCAUUAGGCAAUUUCAGUACACCCAAGUGUAUUUUGAGAAGUGAUUCACUUUUAAUCUCUCCUAGUUUCUUUCAAUUAUGGCCGCAAAAUUCAUUAACGUUGUAUGACUGAUUUAAGGAAAUGCUGUUGCAUUAGUGAGUAUCUACUUUUAUAAACCUAAAAUAGUUUCUUACCUCAUGUCUCCUUACAAUCAUCUGAUUAUAGACAGUAUCAAUUCUAUGAACUUGCAUACUUCCAAAAA